This 677-nucleotide long non-coding RNA is filed under the name Struthio camelus australis. Its description in RNAcentral is "lncRNA (ENSSCUG00000005668.1)". The stretch from base 188 to 279 matches the Rfam family "Small nucleolar SNORD12/SNORD106". Lineage: Eukaryota; Metazoa; Chordata; Aves; Struthioniformes; Struthionidae. The record is from RNAcentral.
CUUUAGGUGCUUGUUUCUCUAGCAUUUGGCAAGGUUUUCUCCUGUCCCAUGUGCCUGUUCAGCUGGCCAGUCCUUUUAGGGGAAGGAGUUGCAUGAGUUCACUUGGUCCAUGUGUAUCUGGUGCAUGGAGAAUGAGCGUGUGCCAUGGCUGCCACAGAUGUGCAGCCAUGUAAGUUAGUAGUAACUUGCUGGUGUGCGUGAUGACCCAACUUUUUUCCCCAUCAGAGCGACAGUGUUGAUUUCUCACCACUCUAGCCAGAUCUCGUCUGAUACACCAGCGGAGAGGCACUGCUGGGUCCUGUGCCCCCGCAGGGCUCGGUGCUGAUUGUGCUGAUUGUUCCCUUUGCUUUUAGUCCUAGGCCCCUGCAGAGGGGGUCGUGGUCUCAGGCCUGCUGGGGAACUCGUGCGAAGGCUGUAGCAGACCGGGAUCAGUCCUGGUGGCUGCACCGUGCUUGAGCCGCUGGCAGGAGGGAUUGGUGCCAUGUGUCCGGAGGGCUCAGGACCAGGCCACGCGGCGUGGAGACGUUUGGGCAGCGUGCUGUUCAGGGCAGCUGCCCCAGCGUGGGAUGGGAGCCAGCCUGGCUGAGGUAGAUCCCUUUGGAAGAGGCGCUGUCCUAGGCCCCUGCAGAGGGGGUCGUGGUCUCAGGCCUGCUGGGGAACUCGUGCGAAGGCUGUAG